This 65-nucleotide transfer RNA is filed under the name Megalobenedenia derzhavini. RNAcentral describes it as "tRNA-Glu". Lineage: Eukaryota; Metazoa; Platyhelminthes; Monogenea; Capsalidea; Capsalidae. The record is from RNAcentral.
AUUAGUUUAGUAUAUAAAGUAUAAAAACUUUUCGUGUUUUUGGUGGGCUUAUGGCCCAAUUAAUA